AUUUCAAUCACAUGUGAAACACCCCAUUUGGGGGCUAUAUAACCACUCUGUGCACCCCACUUCUUCGGUGCCCUUUCUUCCUUCGGGAAGAAAGGCCCCAGGCCAUGGUUCCUCAUAAAGCUUUGUUUAAUUUUCUCUUGCUAUUCUGUCUCAUGUGAAUUUAAUUCGUUCUCCAGCCAGACGAACCCCCAUUUGGGGAGAGGAAAUGUCCUCCUCCCCUACACAUGUCAGCAGAAAACAAAUGCAACUUGAAGAGGCUUUAGCUAAGGAAACUGAUGAAGCUUCUGAAUACUAAAGAAACAAUUUGAUUCUUACACAUUUAUUGGAAUGUGAUGUCUGAAGUCUUAGUAGUUACUGCAGAGCUUAGAAAUCAGCAGGUACAAUAUGGUGAUGAAGAUUUUUAUGUGCUUACAUUCUGCCUACCUCCAAGAAUUAUUAAAGGAAGUGAAUGAGUGUUUUACUUGGGGGCUUUGGACAAUAUAUAAUAUGUUGUAUUCCAUUUACUAUGGAUGCAUAAUAAAUUACCCCAAGACUUAGAGACUUAAAACAACAGUUAUUGAUGAGGAUUUUUAGGCUGCUUAAUUUUAAAAUGGCUUAUGAUGAGGAUUUUUAGGCUGGUUAGUUUUAAAACUACAGAUGAGAUUCAGGCUCCAAGGAGUGGAAUUUGUUUGCCCCUUUGUUGGGAAACAUUUACAUUUCUAAGGGAAACGUCUAUCUGUGAAGAUGCCUCCCUCUCUGUGCCAGGAAGAGGGGGGGAUGGUCUUAUCUCUAGAGGCUCUUGGUCAAUGCCAGAGGCAAGAACUUAAGUUGGUUGCUGUCUGGCAAUCUCAUGUAACUGGUUUAGGGUGGUGGUGUCUGACCUUUCUAACGUUUACUUAAUCCGAUUUGAUUCUUGUCUAAAAGUCAUGGGAUCACCCAAUGACCAGACCCCACCCGCACUGAUACCAUUUUAACUUUUUUUCAUGUUCUUUCCUUUGUCUUGUAAAGAGAUGAAUCAUAUACCUAUGCCUUAUAAAAUUAGCCCUAACCCUCAACUCGGGGCAGCAGCAGGAGCUCUGACUGCCCGUGGGUCCUGUCCCCUCGCACCAGCUCUGCCUGCCCAUGGGUCCUGUCCCCAUGCCAGCGGGGGCAGCAGCAGCGGCUCUGCCUGCCCAUGGGCUCUGUCCCCAUGCCAGCGGGGGCAGCAGAAGCGGGGGCAGCAGAAGCGGCGGCAGCAGAAGCUCUGACUGCCCAUGGGUCCUGUCCCCAUGCUAUUCCACACUAUUUUCUAAAUAAAAGAGCACUACUGCCAGAUCUUGAGAGUCUAAGAAAUCUUUCUUUCGACUCCUCGGCUCACCGAUCCCGCAUCAGUUAUGAUUUAUUAUCUUUUGUGGUUUGUAUGAGUCAGUUGUGCAGUGGCUUAACUAGAUGGUUCUGGCUCAGUGCCUUCAUGAGGAUAUAAGCCAAUAUCAGGUGAGGCUGCAGUCCUCUGACGGCUUAACAGGGGUUGGAGUCUCCACUUUCAAGGUGGCUUACUCAUGGCUAGGAAGUUUGAGUUGGCUCUGCGUGGGAGGCCUCUGUUCCUCUCCAUAUUGGCCUCUCCACAGGGCCAUUUGAGUGUUCUCACAGCAAGGUGGCUGGAUUCCCCAGAGCAGGGGUGGCAAACUUUUUUGUAAAGGGCUAAAUAAUAAAUAUUUUAAGCAUUGUGACUUUGAGCCUUGUGAGCCAUCUCUAGUCUUUGUCACAUUUUCUUCGUCUUUUUUUACAUCAUAUUUUAAAAAUAUAAAAACCUAUCUUAACUGACAGUGCAUUAAAAAAACAGUCUAUAGGCUGGAUUUAGCCCAUGAGCCCUAAUUUGCCAAUCCUUGCCCUAGAUUAAGCAAUCCAAGAGACCAAGAUGGAAGCUGCCAUGUAUUUAAAGACCUGGCCUGUGAAGUCAUACACUGUCCCUUACACCAUAUUCUGUUGGUCACUUAGGGCUUGAUUCAUUGUGGGAGGGGACUACACACAGGUGUGAACGCUAUGCCAAAAACAAGGAUCAUUGGAGGCCAUCCUGGAGGCUGACUGCCACACAGUGCUUUGAAAAAUAAAGCAGUGUCUGCUGAAGGAGUGUAAAUCAGUGCAGCCACUAUGGAAAACAGUCUGGAGAGUUCUCAAAAAAUUAAAAAUAGAAAUGCCAUAUGACCCAGCUAUUCUACUUCUGGGUAUUUAUCCAAAGAACAUGAAAAUACUAAUUUGAAAGAUUUAUGCACCCCUAUGUUCAUUACAGCAUUAUUCAUAAUAGCCAAGACUUGGAAACAACCUAAGUGCCCAUCAACGGAUGAAGGGAUAAAGAAGAUGUGGUGGGUGUAUAUAAUGGAAUACUAAUCAGCCAUAAAAAAAGAUGAAAUCUUGGUAUUUGUGACAACACGGAUGGACCUCGAGGGUAUCAUACUAAGUGAAAUAAGUCAGACAGAGAAAGACAAUUAUUGUAUGACUUCACUGAUAUGUGGAAGAUAAACAAACAGACACAUAGAUGGGGAGAACAGAUUGGUGGUUACCAGAGGGGAAGGGGGCAAGGGGGCAAGGGGAAGGUGGGUCAAAGGGCACAUAUGUACAGUGAUGGAUGGGAAUAGACUUUUGGUGGUGAAUACGAAGUAGUCUAUACAGAAGUCAAAAUAUAGUGAUGUUACACCUAAAAUUUAUAUAAUGUUAUAAACCAACGUGACCUCAACAAAAAAAUAAUAAUAGCUCUGUCUGAGGAGCAUAGCAAUUGAUUAACAUCGUAGAUCACACAGAGAAUUGUCCUUCCAUUAAAGAUAAAAUAUUCUGCUCCUAAUUGCUUGCUAUUCUUCUAAAUUAUUUGCUGAAAAGUUCUAGAAAAAAGAGAAUAGAAAUAACUAGAUUGUGAGAGGAGACUAUCUUUUCUAUCUUCAAAAAUGCCACAACUCCUAGCAAAAUUAUUUUGAAAUAGUAGGCAUUAAAUAAAAAUGUUUGUUGAAUUAAAAAAAUAUAUA
RNAcentral lists this long non-coding RNA (2975 nucleotides) under Equus caballus (horse). RNAcentral describes it as "lncRNA (ENSECAG00000057988.1)". Lineage: Eukaryota; Metazoa; Chordata; Mammalia; Perissodactyla; Equidae. The record is from RNAcentral.